AUACGUAGGGAGCGAGCGUUGUCCGGAAUUACUGGGUGUAAAGGGUGCGUAGGCGGGGAUGCAAGUCAGAUGUGAAAUGUAUGGGCUCAACCCAUGAACUGCAUUUGAAACUGCAACUCUUGAGUGAGGUAGAGGUAAGCGGAAUUCCUAGUGUAGCGGUGAAAUGCGUAGAUAUUAGGAGGAACAUCGGUGGCGAAGGCGGCUUACUGGGCCUUUACUGACGCUGAGGCACGAAAGCGUGGGGAGCAAACAGGAUUAGAUACCCUGGUAGUCCACGCUGUAAACGAUGAUGACUAGGUGUGGGGGGACUGAACCCUUCCGUGCCGCAGUUAACACAAUAAGUAAUCCACCUGGGGAGUACGGCCGCAAGGUUGAAACUCAAAUGAAUUGACGGGG
Molecule: ribosomal RNA, 396 nt
Filed under: uncultured bacterium
Lineage: Bacteria
Description: partial 16S ribosomal RNA
Rfam family: Bacterial small subunit ribosomal RNA
Source: RNAcentral